RNAcentral lists this ribosomal RNA (1494 nucleotides) under uncultured Candidatus Solibacter sp. RNAcentral's name for it is "bacterial SSU rRNA". It matches the Rfam family "Bacterial small subunit ribosomal RNA". The record is from RNAcentral. Lineage: Bacteria; Pseudomonadati; Acidobacteriota; Terriglobia; Bryobacterales; Solibacteraceae.
UCACCUCCUUUACCCGGCUCAGAAUCAACGCUGGCGGCGCGCCUAACACAUGCAAGUCGAACGAGAAAGUAGCAAUCCAUGAGUACAGUGGCGUACGGGUGAGUAACACGUGGGUGAUCUACUGAGGAAUAACCUCUUAGCCUGGGAAACCGGGGCUAAUACCGCAUAAGCCUGAGAAGGGAAAGCAGCAAUGCGCUGAGAGAGGAGCCCGCGGCCGAUUAGCUAGUUGGUCCAGUCGGAGGUAAGAGCCCACCAAGGCAGAGAUCGGUAGCCGGCCUGACACGGCCACACUGGCACUGAAACACGGGCCAGACUCCUACGGAGCAGUGGGGAAUCUUGCACAAUGAGGCGGGGGAAACCCUGAUGCAGCGACGCCGCGUGAGCGAUGAAGCCCUUCGGGGUGUAAAGCUCUUUCGUCAGGGAAGAUUAUGACGGUACCUGGAGAAGCAGCUGCGGCUAACUACGUGCCAGCAGCCGCGGUAAUACGUAGGCAGCAAGCGUUGUUCGGAGUUACUGGGCGUAAAGGGUGUGUAGGCGGUUCUUUAAGUUUGGUGUGAAAUCUCCCGGCUCAACCGGGAGGGUGCGCCGAAUACUGAGGGACUAGAGUGUGGGAGAGGAAAGUGGAAUUCCUGGUGUAGCGGUGAAAUGCCAGGAGGAACACCGGUGGUGUAGACGGCUUUCUGGACCAUAACGCUACAAUUGACGCUGAGACACGAAAGCGUGGGUAGCAAACAGGAUUAGAUACCCUGGUAGUCCACGCCCUAAACGAUGCAUAUUUGGUGUGGGUCAUUCAGUUGAUCCGUGCCGGAGCUGGAACGCGUUAAAUAUGCCGCCUGGGGAACAGUCGCAAGGCUGAAACUCAAAGGAAUUGACGGGGGCCCGCACAAGCGGUGGAGCAUGUGGUUCAAUUCGACGCAACGCGAAGAACCUUACCUGGGCUCGAACGGCUGGUCAACGCCGGUAGAAAUACCGGUACCCCGCAAGGGGGUAGGUGCUGCAUGGCUGUCGUCAGCUCGUGUCGUGAGAUGUUGGGUUAAGUCCCGGAGGGCACAACGAGCGCAACCCUUGUCCUGUGUUGCCAUCAUUCAGUUGGGAACUCGCAGGAGACCGCCAGCGAUAAGCUGGAGGAAGGUGGGGAUGACGUCAAGUCCUCAUGGCCUUUAUGUCCAGGGCUACGUAGAUAUACACGUGGACGGUACAAACCGCAGCAAACCCGCGAGGGGGAGCCAAUCGGAAAAAACCGUUCUCAGUUCGGAUUGCAGGCUGCAACUCGCCUGCAUGAAGCUGGAAUCGCUAGUAAUGGCAGAUCAGCACGCUGCCGUGAAUACGUUCCCGGGCCUUGUACACACCGCCCGUCACAUCACGAAAGUGGAUUGUACUAGAAGUCUGCAGGCUGACCCGUAAGGGGGGCAGCGGCCCAAGGUAUGAUCCAUGAUUGGGGUGAAGUCGUAACAAGGUAGCCGUAGGAGAACCUGCGGCUGGAGAGUUUGAUGU